RNAcentral lists this antisense RNA (75 nucleotides) under Streptomyces varsoviensis. RNAcentral's name for it is "ASpks sRNA". It matches the Rfam family "ASpks TB sRNA". The record is from RNAcentral. Lineage: Bacteria; Bacillati; Actinomycetota; Actinomycetes; Kitasatosporales; Streptomycetaceae.
UUUGAUCGAACCGAGCCACAGCGGGGCGCCGGGCUCGCGCUCGCGUCCGUAGGCGGCCAGCAGGGCCUGCGCCUC